Lotus japonicus is the source of this 980-nucleotide long non-coding RNA. RefSeq lists it as uncharacterized. Lineage: Eukaryota; Viridiplantae; Streptophyta; Magnoliopsida; Fabales; Fabaceae. The record is from RefSeq and is a predicted model, not a curated record. The transcript has 3 exons.
CAAGGCUGAAGUCGCGAACCCAAGAAGAGACUCUUGCCGGGGUCGCUCGUGUUCAAGAGGCUCAGGAGCUUUCCUUGUACAAAUAAAGAAAACUGCAACAAGUGGUCUUCAUAAUCAUAUCAUACUCGGAGGUGUUUGUGCUUUUACAAUGGCGGCUGCUACCUAAUUGCACUUGGAUUUUGCGUUUAGAGAAGAGAAGCUUUUUGUGGAGUCAUUAAAUCUCUAGAUGGUGGAGUUCAGUUUGGGAGAAAAUGGUUGGAAUAUCUUCAGCACUGGACAAUAAUGGUGUAUUUUCAUCAGUUAAAGGGUAUUCAUUUUUUGCAAUAAGGAAUAAAAAGUGGUGUGACGAAUAGUAUGUUAUGUGCUUUGUUGACUGCUAAAUCGUGGUCCUUGAAUGGUUAAGCAGUACUGACUUGUAUUACAUUUCUGAUGUGGGUACAGUUGCUGUUCUGUUUUUGCUAUUACAGGGCAUACCAUGUAACACAUAGUUUGGCCAGGAGAGCCAUUAUUUCUCAAUUCUCAUGAUGAUAAUAUUGAGUGAAUGCUCAAUUUUGUAAGCGUCAGACAAGUUACUCCUUAGAAGAAGGAAAUACCCACGGUGUCCGUGGUUGUGUCAAAUGUCGGUCAAGUUAGUCCCUACAAGGAUUAACUUGACUGACGUUUUAUCUGAUCAUAGAGACUAAUUUGACCGACAUUUAACAGAAUUAGGGAACACGGGAGUAUUUCUUUUUUUCUACUGACUAACUUGUCCGAUGCUUAAACUUUUAGGGAUAAAAUUGAGCAUUUACUCAUAAUAUCUGUCCAACAUCCUUUGCAAAAGAGGAAUCUGUUGCACACAGUUUCUUUGAGUGUUCUUUUCUCAAGUAUAUGGAUGUUCUGUUUUAGAUGGUUUGGAAUAUCUUUCAGUUGGUCAAUAACUGGAUGGUGCAUUUUCAUCAGUUUAAGGAUAUUCAUUUUUGCAAUAAGGAAUAAAAAGAGGU